GCCAUGAUCACGUCACUGCACUCCAGCAUGGGCAACGGAGCAGGACUCUAUCCCCCACCACCCUCAAAAAAGAAGGAUGUCAAAUUAGUUUAAAAUUCCUACAUCAAGACAAAUUGCAAGUCUGGUGUACACAUGUGCACGAAGGUAAGGGGAGGAUGCACACAUCAGCUUACUGCAAGUAUGAAGAGUUUGUUAAUGACAGCAAUGACACCUAGAAAAAGAUAUUAAAAUGAGAAAAGAAUAAGAAGAGACUGUCCAAAAAGACAGAACUCAAAGUAUAAAUCAGAGUAUAAGUAGAGAGCCCACUAAGGUACUGAUGUUACCAAGGUGCAUUUCCAGAGUUUAACAAAGCAUGAAGGUUCCAACACCUUACCUGGUGGACUGGGGAGGAGGCGAAGUAUCUUACAGAAAAUGAGGAAAGGCUUGUGAGAGCAGACCUGAACUCCAUUCUACGUCUGACCACUCAGCCCAACAUGAUGGCAGCAGCAACAAUAAUUACUGAGAAACUGCCAAAGUUUGAGCAGAGAAAGGCAGUAGGCAAAGGAGCUGUAGACUGAAAAACAAGUGAUGGAGCAAUGAUCUUCAGGAAGUAGACCGAGCAAAAUCUAAAACAU
Long non-coding RNA from Homo sapiens (human), 614 nucleotides. The record is from Ensembl. NCBI's taxonomy places the organism in Eukaryota, Metazoa, Chordata, Mammalia, Primates, Hominidae.